UGGGGAAUAUUGGACAAUGGGCGAAAGCCUGAUCCAGCCAUGCCGCGUGUGUGAAGAAGGUCUUCGGAUUGUAAAGCACUUUAAGUUGGGAGGAAGGGCAGUAAGCGAAUACCUUGCUGUUUUGACGUUACCGACAGAAUAAGCACCGGCUAACUCCGUGCCAGCAGCCGCGGUAAUACAGAGGGUGCAAGCGUUAAUCGGAAUUACUGGGCGUAAAGCGCGCGUAGGUGGUUCGUUAAGUUGAAUGUGAAAGCCCCGGGCUCAACCUGGGAACUGCAUCCAAAACUGGCGAGCUAGAGUAGGGCAGAGGGUGGUGGAAUUUCCUGUGUAGCGGAGAAAUGCGUAGAUAUAGGAAGGAACACCAGUGGCGAAGGCGACCACCUGGGCUCAUACUGACACUGAGGUGCGAAAGCGUGGGGAGCAAACAGG
This 429-nucleotide ribosomal RNA is filed under the name Pseudomonadota bacterium. Its description in RNAcentral is "Proteobacteria bacterium partial 16S ribosomal RNA". It matches the Rfam family "Bacterial small subunit ribosomal RNA", at positions 355 to 776 of the family's 1533-position model. Lineage: Bacteria; Pseudomonadati; Pseudomonadota. The record is from RNAcentral.